Molecule: long non-coding RNA, 1071 nt
Organism: Pongo pygmaeus (Bornean orangutan)
Lineage: Eukaryota; Metazoa; Chordata; Mammalia; Primates; Hominidae
Exons: 3
Source: RefSeq, a predicted model, not a curated record
CCGAACUCUUGCUGCAGAGUUUCGAGCGCCGCUUCCUGGCGGCGCGCGCACUGCGCUCCUUUCCCUGGCAGAGCUUAGAAGCAAAGUUAAGAGACUCAUCAGAUUCUGAGCUGCUGCGGGAUAUUUUGCAGAAGACUCUCACUCUGUCACCCAGGCUGGAAUGCAAUGGCACGAUCUCAUCUCACUGCAAACUCUGCCUCCCGGGUUCAAGUAAUUCUCAUGCAUCAGCUUCCCAAGUAGCUGGGAUUACAGGCACCCACAACCAUACCUAGCUAAUUUUUGUAUUUUUGGUAAAGACAGGUUUCGCCAUGUUGGCCAGGUUGGUCUCGAACCCCUGACCUCUGGUGAUCUGCCUGCCUCAGCCUCCCAGAGUUCUACGAUUACAGCUGUGAGCCACCAUGCCCAUUCAGAAAAAUGUUUUUAAAUAAACGAUAGCCAGAGUCACCUGGUCAGGUGGAGAAAGAGCACUGCUCUGGCGGGCAGGCCACCAGCCUCUGUGAGAUACUCUCCUGAAGGGGGCAUUUCAGCGUCAGGGCCUGGUCACUCCCCAACUGGGGAUUCAAGGCGGCCCACCUCCACCACACCCGGUGUCCUGGGACAGGAACAUGCUGCAGGCCAGACAAGCAGCUCACAGCUCAGUGGCCCCCGACAAGCCCAGAGCUCCUCACCACAGCCGCACACCUACUUUCUAAAGCUGCCAGCAGGAUGGAGAAAUCUUCGUCCUCUAUGAGAAGAGAAUUGAAUGUCAGGGGCCUGUUUCUGGACACCCCUCUUCCAGCUCACACGCCCUCCCCUUCUCAUUGAGACCGUGGCGGGGUGGGGGUAUGCAGGACUGGCGGGGGUGAGGAGAACACAGGUUGGCCAGGUGCCGUCACACCAACCCCAAGUACUCCAGGGGUCGUGCAGACCUGUCUAGCUCGUGCUGCUGACCAGCAGGGCUGGCCGCUCACGGAGACAUGUCACCAGCCCGCUCCCAGCAUCCCGCUCCGUGAAGGCUGAUCGCUCCGUGGCUGGGUCCUCAGGUUCUGAGCCGAAAGAGCAGAAAAAAAGCCUGUGAGAGGCCACAGAGCA